Molecule: non-coding RNA, 30 nt
Filed under: Mus musculus (house mouse)
Lineage: Eukaryota; Metazoa; Chordata; Mammalia; Rodentia; Muridae
Source: RNAcentral
UCCCAGGGUGACUGUUGCCUCAACCUCAGA